AUUGUUCGCGAAUAUUCAAUUUGGAAUGCGAUUUUGUUAAUAAAAAAAAUACUUAUAACUUAUGCAAAACCCAAGAGAGGCAUUUAUAUUUAUUUCUUUUGCGUUCAUUUUCAAAUUCGCCGUGCAUAUAUUUUUGUGCAUGGCGCUUGAGAGGGCAUCACGUGACUAAAAACGACCAACCAACGACCUCGCUUCGGCCAUCUUGGCAUCUUCAUCUUGGCCACCUUGCUUUGCCGUGGGUGGAUCGUUUGUAUUAUUUGUGCUUUUUAAGAAUAUUUUUUUAAUUCGGAUACUUUUAUAAUAGCUUUAAUAGUAUUAUUAACAUAGUGAAUAAAAUGGUGUCCUGUUUUUAACGCAGUUGGAGUAGCAGAAACAAAUGUAGAUAAAAAAAUCUGCAGGAAUAACGGUUCAAUUAUGACAGAAGCUCCAAACAAAUGACUGUGAAUGAAAAGCCCUAUUAAAAGCGUUCCAGAAGAUCCUGCGAAGAAGACAUGAAGUAUAGAUCAGAUCUGUUAAUAGAGGAGUAUGUUCAAAACACUUUUUAGAAAAAGAUAUUGACAGAACUUCACUUUCAUCUGUUCGUUUAAGAGACUGUGCUGUUCCAAUAGCUUAUGUCACACAGAAUCAGCUGAGAGAAGUGGUCUACAAAAAACCAGAAAGGAAACGGAAUAUGUGGCUACGAAAAGCAAAAGAAAGGUUUACAAAGCAAAUGUGACACAUUUUUUUAUAAUAUUUAGGAAUGUCAGUAAAUUACAUUAAAAAAUGUAUGUAAAGAUUUUUUGCAAUAAAAAUGUUUAUAUUUAUCAAGGAUGUAUUAUUUGGUAUGGCCACAUAUCGUCAGUGAUGUGACAAUACCUCCUAUCUGUUUUUUUCAAGAGAUUUGUAAGAUAGACUAAAAACUUGUUUCGGCCACCUCCUGUUUUCAUAUAUUUUUUGACUUGUUUUGCAGUAAAUUCAACUAUCUAUUUACUACAAAAAAGUCAGAAUACGUACGAAAACAGAAAGUGACCUUAAAAAAUGUUUUUCGUCUCCUGCAAACCUCAUGAAAAAACAUAUAGGAGGUAUUGUCACAUUACUGACGAUAUAUUUCAGUGAAUGUCUAAAAAAUAUACUGUGAAUGUUCAAAGAACGUUCGUAGACAUUCAUGGAAUGUUCUAACAAGACAUUC
Molecule: long non-coding RNA, 1168 nt
Organism: Diabrotica virgifera virgifera (western corn rootworm)
Lineage: Eukaryota; Metazoa; Arthropoda; Insecta; Coleoptera; Chrysomelidae
Exons: 3
Source: RefSeq, a predicted model, not a curated record